GAACGCAUAUUGCGCUCUUUGGUAUUCCGAAGAGCAUGCUUGUUUGAGUAUCAGUAAACACCUCACUUUUCUCUUUUUUUUUAAAAAAAAAGGAGAGUGGACUUGAGCUAUCCCAACAACCUUCAUUGGUAGGCGGGCGGCUUGAAAUGCAGGUGCAGCUGGACUUUUAUCUGAGCUAAAAGCAUAUCUAUUUAGUCCUCGUCAAACAGGAUUAUUACUUUUGCUGCAGCUAACAUAAAGGAUAAUCGUCCUCUUUGCUGACUGAUGCAGGAUUUUACGACACAUAUGUGUCGUUCAACUCGAUCUCAAAUCAAGUAAGACUACCCGCUGAACUUAAG
RNAcentral lists this unclassified non-coding RNA (338 nucleotides) under uncultured fungus. Its description in RNAcentral is "sequence contains 5.8S rRNA gene". The stretch from base 1 to 53 matches the Rfam family "5.8S ribosomal RNA", at positions 102 to 154 of the family's 154-position model. Lineage: Eukaryota; Fungi. The record is from RNAcentral.